GAUUAAUUUGAUAUGCUAGUACAUUGUAUUAACCCAAGUUCCUAAACUGGUUCAGUUCAAAGUAUUUGAACUAAACUAAAUUGGUUAUCUUUGACCUAAUGGGAUUGGGUCCACUUUAAUUGGGUUCUUAUCCAACUUGGAAUAAUUUUAAGUGUGGAAGGAGUCCUCUACACCCACCAAGUCUCACACCAAAAUAAAAUUGCUGCCCCCUCUUAAUUAAUGUGAGA
This 227-nucleotide long non-coding RNA is filed under the name Elaeis guineensis (African oil palm). RNAcentral's name for it is "long non-coding RNA (EGUI_LNC064962)". Lineage: Eukaryota; Viridiplantae; Streptophyta; Magnoliopsida; Arecales; Arecaceae. The record is from RNAcentral.